AGAGUUUGAUCCUGGCUCAGGAUGAACGCUAGCUACAGGCUUAACACAUGCAAGUCGGAGGGGAAACGACAUCGAAAAGCUUGUCUUUUGAUGGGCGUCGACCGGCGUACGGGUGAGUAACGCGUAUCCAACCUCGCCCACCACGUUGGGGAUAACCUUGCGAAAGUAAGACUAAUACCCAAUGAUAUCUCUAGAAGACAUCUGAAAGAGAUUAAAGAUUUAUCGGUGAUGGAUGGGGAUGCGUCUGAUUAGCUUGUUGGCGGGGUAACGGCCCACCAAGGCAACGAUCAGUAGGGGUUCUGAGAGGAAGGUCCCCCACAUUGGAACUGAGACACGGUCCAAACUCCUACGGGAGGCAGCA
RNAcentral lists this ribosomal RNA (361 nucleotides) under uncultured bacterium. RNAcentral describes it as "bacterial SSU rRNA". It matches the Rfam family "Bacterial small subunit ribosomal RNA", at positions 8 to 353 of the family's 1533-position model. The record is from RNAcentral.